RNAcentral lists this long non-coding RNA (704 nucleotides) under Numida meleagris (helmeted guineafowl). RNAcentral's name for it is "lncRNA (ENSNMEG00000005637.1)". Lineage: Eukaryota; Metazoa; Chordata; Aves; Galliformes; Numididae. The record is from RNAcentral.
GAGCUGGAAACACAUACUGUUUGUACUUCAUGUGGAAGGACAGCGGCUGUCGGCAUGCUGACCCUGGCUUUUUUUUUGACCAUUCUCCAAACAUUGCCAUUAGUGUUUGAGCAGAGUUCCUUAUGACAUGAUGUGUGCCCUACACAACAACAUUGUGGAUACUGGGUGAAAACAUCCUAUCAAAUGAAGCAAAGGAAGUGGCUGACAAUCAAUAUAAGCCCAGGGUAAGGCUAAGAUGGAAGAGAGCAAACAUCUCCAACACAAUGCAAGGAUUACCUUAUGGCAUCCAAUUGUUUUCCUCCCUAUUCCCUUUCUCAAAUAUUCCUGAAGCCUUGGCAGCAGAUGCUGAUGCCAGUUAAUGACUUCCUCAAAUAUUCCUGCUUGGCAGAGGCAUAACCAGCAAUUGAAAGCUAUGAAGAUUUCUGAGCCAUAGCAGGCACACCACUUGACUUUGUCAAUGCUCAGCACAUGUCACCCUACCAUAAUGCAAGUCAUAUAUUUUUGAAACUAUUAUAAAAGACAAGUGUGGUCCGUGCUACGGUAAGUAGCAAUUAGUCCAUGUAUUAAGAAAUUCUCUCAAAACCAUAAAUGUAUAGAUACUUGUACAGAGUCAAGAUGUUGAAAGAAAUUUAAUAGCCACUUCCUGAAAUUAAGCUAUUUAGACAAAAACCUCAUUAAUGUUCUAUUAAUUUGUAGGAUUUCCA